ACUCCUACGGGAGGCAGCAGUGGGGAAUCUUGCGCAAUGGGCGGAAGCCUGACGCAGCAACGCCGCGUGAGGGAUGACGGCCUUCGGGUUGUAAACCUCUUUCGCGAUCGACGAAGGUCAUGCUUUUGGCAUGGCUGACGGUAGGUCGAGAAGAAGCACCGGCCAACUACGUGCCAGCAGCCGCGGUAAUACGUAGGGUGCGAGCGUUGUCCGGAAUUAUUGGGCGUAAAGAGCUCGUAGGCGGUGUGUCGCGUCGGCCGUGAAAACCUGGGGCUUAACUCUGGGCGUGCGGUCGAUACGGGCAUCACUAGAGUUCGGCAGGGGAGACUGGAAUUCCUGGUGUAGCGGUGAAAUGCGCAGAUAUCAGGAGGAACACCGGUGGCGAAGGCGGGUCUCUGGGCCGAUACUGACGCUGAGGAGCGAAAGCAUGGGUAGCGAACAGGAUUAGAUACCCUGGUAGCGAGUAG
This 467-nucleotide ribosomal RNA is filed under the name uncultured bacterium. Its description in RNAcentral is "bacterial SSU rRNA". It matches the Rfam family "Bacterial small subunit ribosomal RNA", at positions 335 to 802 of the family's 1533-position model. The record is from RNAcentral.